AAGAUAGUAGCAUAAUAAAUGCUUUAGUUUUAAAAACUAAAGAUUUCAUCUUA
RNAcentral lists this transfer RNA (53 nucleotides) under Thaumamermis cosgrovei. RNAcentral's name for it is "tRNA-Leu". Lineage: Eukaryota; Metazoa; Nematoda; Enoplea; Mermithida; Mermithidae. The record is from RNAcentral.